This is a long non-coding RNA of Capsicum annuum, 4438 nucleotides long. RefSeq lists it as uncharacterized. The record is from RefSeq and is a predicted model, not a curated record. NCBI's taxonomy places the organism in Eukaryota, Viridiplantae, Streptophyta, Magnoliopsida, Solanales, Solanaceae. The transcript has 9 exons.
CACGCGUACCCUUUUUUUGCCAUUGAAAAUUUCUCUCAAAUUUAUAUUUCCUCUUACAACUUAAUUUCUGAUAAAUUAUCUUCAUAUCAACGCCUUAAUUUUUGGCAAAUUGAAGCUCCGUAAAUUGGGAAAAUUUAGGAAUCUUUAUUUCACCGCCUUAAUUUUUGGUAAAUUCAGAUGCAAAUUCUGGAAAGUUGAUCAUUGUAUCUUUCAUGGAAAAGGAGAACACACUCAACACAACACCCCCAGACAUUGCAAUGGACACUGCAGAAAGUAAUAAAACAAAAAAUUCACAAUACUGGCACAACCACAAAAGACAAUCAGUGUAAAACAACUAAAGCAACUACUUCACAUGUCAGACAUGCUUCAGAGCUAAAAACUCUACCUCUGAAAAAGUGCCACAAGUGAAACAUCUUUUGCUCUCUACUUUUGGACUACCGUUGGGAGCUGUUUUUUCCUGCAUCCUAAAGCAUACAUCUAACGAUGCUAUGUAUCAUGUAUAUACUAAAGAUGACCGUCUCUGUUCUCCUGCAUAGGUCUCAGUCAUACAUUUGCAGAGCCCAACCUGAAGAUGCAUCAACUCUUUUUUUGUAUCUAUCUAUGUAAAUUAUAUGUACAGUACCAUUUUGCAAAACAUGACUCCUUAAUAUUCACAUAUAUAUGUAUAUAUAUGUGUGUAUGUAUACAUAUAAAAUGUGUAUGCUACAAGCUUGUUCCCCUGAGCUCAAUCGUACUAAUUAAAAUAUUCUACUGUUCAAACUUCCUACUUUCAAGAUAAAUUCUAAAACUUAAAAAUUGAAAUCCACAUGUUUUAUUGUUGAGCCCGUACUUAGGUGAAUGACCAAUGGUGUUUUCGUAAAUUUAGCUUCAACUAAGGGCAAAGUGGUAAUUGUCAGUGAUUAAAUAAAACUCCAGAAGCAUGUUCUCCCUCAGUCUCUCAUUCCUAACCAAAAAAAAGGACGCUUCUCUUCAUCUGCUAUUCAUCAUUUGCGCAUCACCACUCACACUAAUUGAUUUCAUAUUAUCUCAAUUUCAGUUUGUACCAGCGGCUUGUGUUUUUGGCUCAUCAUGGACUGAUUGGCACAGAAUAUUUUUUAGAACAAAGCAAAAUGAGUCCACAGAUUAUAUGAUAUGUCUACCUGCUUAUGGAGCUGUUUAUUGGAGCGUGGUUUGGUGCUUGGCCAAUGGCACUUGAUUGGGAAAGCCCAUAGCAGCUAUACCAGAAUGAAUGCAAAAGAUAAAGUGAUCAAAAGAAGGAAAGAAAAAAGGUUGGCACUAUGUGGCUACUUUUUAUCGGGGUAAGAUCAGAUUGCAUUGCCAUCUGUAAAAAAAUUUUGCUCGAGUUAGGGAAUCACUUAAGUCUAUUUUGUCAACAGGAUCUCCAUGUUCCACACUGAGAUUCUAAGUAAAAUAAAAUAGCUUGUGCUAUAUCCUGAUUCAAGGAGUUCCUAAGACAUGCCCUCACAUUAUUUUUUUGUUAUUUGAGCAUAUAUGACCAUUACGAAGGUAUGAAAUUUGAUUUUUUUCUUGCUUGAGGUAUGCUUGUGUAAAUUAGAAUAAAAGCUAAUUAAGUACUAUGUAGCAACAUUAGUACAUGCAUCUUCCAUUAUAAUGUCCUUUUAUGUUUUUCCUUUACUAAAAAAUUACAUCAAAACAUACAUCACUUACUUGCGAGAUGAAUGGAAACGAUAGCAGUUAAGGUGAAAAACGAAACAUGGAGAGGCAGUUUUAUACCGAAAUUGUUUCACACAUUUGUUUGUAUCACGUUGUGUCUUAGUUCUUGUUACUCUAGCUGAUUUUCUAUAAUUAUCUUGAAUUUACCAGCUGUUAGCUGCUGCAGCCACACAUGUUAAAUGUAUAUAUUUCUUGUGUAAUCCUUUUGCUUGAUCAAUUUGCAUUAAAUGUAUAUAUUUCUUGUGUAAUCUUUUUGCUUGAUCAAUUUGCAUUUGUUACCAGUUAACAAAGCCAUAGUUAUUACCGACUCACAGAUUUCCUUGGUGCUUGAGUGCUAAUUUAGUCAAAUGCAUUUUCAUUUCCUAUGUCUUAGAACUGGAGGGAAAGAUCCUUUUUAUGUAUAAGUUAUGCUCUUCAUGAAAAGAUCACAUUUUCCUAUUUUGCAGACCUCUGCACGGGGUUGGAAAAUGUUUUAGUAAAUGAUUUAUUCUCGUUUACGGCACAAUUGGUAUUUGCAUUUAAGAAUGGCAUAUUUAUGUGACUUAUAGAGCUAUAGUUGGUUACCUCGUGGGGCUUGUAGCAUCCUUGGACUGCAUUUUCUUCCGUAACUGCCAACAACAUCUAAAAGAAGAGUAGUGUCUGGCUUCUGGGAAUCAGCCAAGGAAGGCCCAUGAUACUACAGCAAUAGUCUUGAGACGAAGUUGGGCCUUUGUUACUCUGGUGCAGAGAAAAAUGAUAUCCAAUUUUGCUCUCUUCCUAAAUUCACUAUUCUUUUUCUUUAAUUAAGUCUAAUUGUAAUUCUUUUUGGCAAAUUGUGAAAUACACACAUGACGAGAUAAUGCAGUAGAGGAGUUGAAAAAGGCAAGCAUUGACGUGAUCCCAAUUGAUGAUGAUUCUUUGAGAAAAUCUGGUCUUUGAGAACGUAUGAACAUAUUCUACUAAAUAGUGUUUUAAAAACCCUGGUAAAGACCAAGCUUGUUCCUAAUCCUUUCUUUGGGCUGGGAAAUGAAUCAAUUAUCGACAUUGGUGAUUCACGGAGGGAUGAGGGAACACUACACUUUCUGAUUUUGUACCACCUUUGAAUUCAAAUAAUCAGAAUGCGGAUCUUAAUUUUCGGACUAUUAUUGUUCUGCUGAAGUCUAUCUGAAUGGGCACAAGGAGGUGCUUCCAAAGGGAAUGUUGAGGAGGCAUUCUAUUGAUAUCACUGACAUUCUGCUGGUUGUGCUUGUCUAUCCUCCUGAUCAUCCAUGGCGUAUUUCUCCUCAGGUUGGUCAAGGUAGUGAUCAUGAGGUAUUCUUCAAAUUAAACUUAAGCCAAAUCAUCUUGGAAGUUUUUACUAUUCUCAUCUGAGGGCACAUUAUGAUAAUUCUCUCAUGGGAGACAUAAAUAUAAUCACACAAAAAAUACGUGCUGCAUAUCAGUUUCCCGGAAAAUGUUCUCCUUGCAAAAGUCAUUAUCUAGUGUUUGGUUAGGAAAACAUUUUCACGCAGAGGGAAAACUGACUUCCCUCGCUGAUGGGUGGAAAGUGUAUUCUUAGAACUAUCUUAAACUUUAACUUCAUAGUACUUGUUCCAACUAACACACUAUAAUUAACUUUUAGCUCUUGAAAUUUAUAUCAGAACACUCCCUUAUUUUUGAUACGCAUAAAUUUUUAACAUAUGUUGUUUUAAGGAAAUAUUUGCUCUCACCAUCCAAGACCAUAACAUCUUCCUAGAUUACAUAUGAGACAAAAUGGUUGGUGUCUGGUUGUUUAUCUCUUAGCAGGAACUUUAAACUGUAAUAUUGAAGUGCAAAAUCCCAGGCUUAGCAGGAAUAUGAGGGACUUAACCCUAUUAAGCAAAAUGAGGUCAAAUUCCUUUGCAAUGAGGAAAAGCUUAGUCUAUAGUGCGAGAAAGGGCCACUGGCUAUUCUAUACCCUGACUAUGUGCAUAAUAACAACUCCAAGGUUACGGAUUAUAUUGAUGGUGGUAAUUGGAACAUGUAUAAAUUAACGGAAGAUCUCCCUAAACAUAUUCUUAUAUAUUGCAAAUAUUCCUGUUGGGGAUGCUAAUGAAAAUGAUUGUGCUUUCUGAAACAAUACUCAGGAUGGCUAAUAUACAAAUUCUUCUGCUUGGCAAAGCAUAAGAAAAGUGAGACAGAAUGAUGGCAUCUUGAGUAAGGUUUGGCACAAGUACUUACCUUUCAAAAUAUCUUUUUUACCUGGAGAACGGUGCUAAAAAAGCUCUCUUUUGAUGAAGUGCUUCAAAGACUUGGUAAUCCUAUGAAUACUACAUGCCUAUGCUGCACAACACCGCAAAAUGAAUCAAUUCAACGUGUGUUCAGUGAUAGUGAGAUUGCUAGAGCACAUACGGAACUACUUUGGAAACCCCCUUGGAAUUAAUCACCAAGGGGGAAACCUUAGAAUUUUCUUCAGUGCUUGGUGGAAUAUGAACACUGCCAACAGUAUGCAUAAAAUGGUACAACAAAUCACCCCAUGUGUAUAGCAUGUUUUUAAAGCCACCAACGGAUAUAACAUUAUAGGCCUUGGGAGAUUUUAUUUGGGGUGAAGACUCAUACUUCCACAAAUAUGAAGAAAAUUUUGCUUCUUAUAAAUUUUUCGAAGAGACGACAGAAACUGAAUGAAUUUUCAUGUGUACUGAAGAUAUACUUUUUGUCAUUGUUUAAUUCAAGAGGUAAAACUGUUGAAGCAUACCCAAAUGUAAAUGUCCAAUCAAAUACAUGUAUUGAUGAUAGUAUCGGUGCAAGUGAUCUUACUUUUUGAGCA